RNAcentral lists this ribosomal RNA (406 nucleotides) under uncultured bacterium. RNAcentral describes it as "partial 16S ribosomal RNA". It matches the Rfam family "Bacterial small subunit ribosomal RNA", at positions 28 to 526 of the family's 1533-position model. The record is from RNAcentral.
GAUGAACGCUGGCGGCGUGCCUAAUACAUGCAAGUCGAACGAGUGGCGGACGGGUGAGUAAUGUCUGGGAAACUGCCUGAUGGAGGGGGAUAACUACUGGACACGGUAGCUAAUACCGCAUACCAUCGGAUGUGCCCAGAUGGGAUUAGCUAGUAGGUGGGGUAAAGGCUCACCUAGGCGACGAUCCCUAGCUGGUCUGAGAGGAUGACCAGCCACACUGGAACGGUGACACGGUCCAGACUCCUACGGCAGGCAGCAGUGGGGAAUAUUGCACAAUGGGCGCAAGCCUGAGGCAGCCAGGCCGCGUGUAUGAAGAAGGCCUUCGGGUUGUAAAGUACUUUCAGCGGGGAGGCGUUACCCGCAGAAGAAGCACCGGCUAACUCCGUGCCAGCAGCCGCGGUAAUUC